GGAAAGUUUUUCGGUCAAGGAUGGACUCGCGGCCUAUCAGCUUGUUGGUGAGGUAAUGGCUCACCAAGGCGUCGACGGGUAGCCGGCCUGAGAGGGCGACCGGCCACACUGGGACUGAGACACGGCCCAGACUCCUACGGGAGGCAGCAGUGGGGAAUAUUGCACAAUGGGCGAAAGCCUGAUGCAGCGACGCCGCGUGAGGGAUGAAGGCCUUCGGGUUGUAAACCUCUUUCAGUAGGGAAGAAGCGAAAGUGACGGUACCUGCAGAAGAAGCGCCGGCUAACUACGUGCCAGCAGCCGCGGUAAUACGUAGGGCGCAAGCGUUGUCCGGAAUUAUUGGGCGUAAAGAGCUCGUAGGCGGUUUGUCGCGUCUGGUGUGAAAACUCAAGGCUCAACCUUGAGCUUGCAUCGGGUACGGGCAGACUAGAGUGUGGUAGGGGUGACUGGAAUUCCUGGUGUAGCGGUGGAAUGCGCAGAUAUCAGGAGGAACACCGAUGGCGAAGGCAGGUCACUGGGCCACUACUGACGCUGAGGAGCGAAAGCAUGGGGAGCGAACAGGAUUAGAUACCCUGGUAGUCCAUGCCGUAAACGUUGGGCACUAGGUGUGGGGCUCAUUCCACGAGUUCCGCGCCGCAGCUAACGCAUUAAGUGCCCCGCCUGGGGAGUACGGCCGCAAGGCUAAAACUCAAAGGAAUUGACGGGGGCCCGCACAAGCGGCGGAGCAUGCGGAUUAAUUCGAUGCAACGCGAAGAACCUUACCAAGGCUUGACAUACACCGGAAUCAUGCAGAGAUGUGUGCGUCUUCGGACUGGUGUACAGGUGGUGCAUGGUUGUCGUCAGCUCGUGUCGUGAGAUGUUGGGUUAAGUCCCGCAACGAGCGCAACCCUCGUCCUAUGUUGCCAGCACGUUAUGGUGGGGACUCAUAGGAGACUGCCGGGGUCAACUCGGAGGAAGGUGGGGAUGACGUCAAAUCAUCAUGCCCCUUAUGUCUUGGGCUUCACGCAUGCUACAAUGGCCGGUACAAAGGGCUGCGAUACCGCGAGGUGGAGCGAAUCCCAAAAAGCCGGUCUCAGUUCGGAUUGGGGUCUGCAACUCGACCCCAUGAAGUCGGAGUCGCUAGUAAUCG
Molecule: ribosomal RNA, 1126 nt
Filed under: Sanguibacter sp. Bac_CS_33
Lineage: Bacteria; Bacillati; Actinomycetota; Actinomycetes; Micrococcales; Sanguibacteraceae
Description: bacterial SSU rRNA
Rfam family: Bacterial small subunit ribosomal RNA
Source: RNAcentral